UCCUAACAUCUUGAAUUUAUCCUUUAUUGGGAAUUUGUAGAGCAAUGAGAGGAUUAGGAUUUACUUUUCCUAUGGUCAUCUGUUCAUUUACACUGUCUGAACAGAAUUCCUCCUAUGUUUCUAUUUUUUUUAUGGUUCUUAGACAACAAAGAGCUUAAAAACAUGCUAUUGUCAAGAACUCUGGUAGGUGGGAAUGUGAUCACAGGAGAUGUUUUUAAGUUAAAUCUUUAUUGAUUGCCUGUCAUAUGUGUUUUUUUGUGUACUGUGUACACCACAUGAGUUCUGAGCAGGACAGACGUAGCUAUCUCUUUCAGAACUCUUACUGUCUUGUUGUUGACAGAAUAUGUUCAACUUGAUUCCAGAAUAGUACAUUAAACAUUCUCAUUCCAUUGAUCAUAAUGCAAACCAAAGACUUUAUACUUUGAGAAGCCCUUUGCUGGGAAGAAGGAAGAGAGAGAUGAAGAGAAGUUAUGACAGGAGAGGAGGUGUUGGACAGAACUGUGAAGUUUCUGUGCUUUGCUUGGCAUGCAGGUUGUCCUUGACCUUGCCCUUUCUCUUAUCACAUCUUCUACUGUAUUGCAAAUCAUUUGAAAUGACUCACAAGGCCUAAGUCAAAGUCCCCUCUCUAUCACGUGUCUGCUCUUUAGCUUAGACAGAAACACAAAAUGUCAUGAGCCUCAGAUUUCUAAUCUGUAGAAGGUUGUGUAGUAAUUAUAGCUGCAUUGCUACCUUGCCAGGGUGAUAUGAGAAUCAAACAAGACAGGUCUCUGUAGCGUUAAGGGCAUUAUUACUUGGGAGUAAUUUGAGGUGCCUUUCUGGAAGAAGUGCUGAGGAACAUCCACUGCCACAGGGAAUCUAUAAGGAGCAGUGGUGGUGGUGGUUGUAGGGGAUCUGAAUCCUUUGCCUUUGCUCUUUCUGUUGUUCUAAUCCAAGCAAAGCAUCUGAUGAGGUCAUCAUUUCUCUUUUCUGUGAGAUUCAGACAGGAAGUCACACUCCCCUCAGCUAUUACCCAAGAUACUUGCUUCUGACCUUCAAGUUGAAGGAGGUAGCAGGUUAGACUAGGAGAGGUAUCUGUGUUAAAGCUGCUGUGUAGUGUCUGGGAAAGGCUGCUGUGCAAUGUCUGGGAAAGUCAUUAAAGACUCUUCUCUCUGUUCUUUCUACAGGUUGGUGAAUUCAGGCCUUACAUCGAUUUGUUGUUCAGCUCUGUCUUCUGCACUCAAAACUAACCAGAAUCUCACACAUCUUUACCUACGAGGCAAUGCACUUGGAGACAUGGGGCUUAAGCAACUCUGUGAGGGACUCUUGCACCCUGGCUGCAAGCUUCAGAUGUUGGAGUUAGACAACUGCAGUCUCACCUCACACUGCUGCUGGGAUCUUUCCACAAUUCUGACCUCCAACCAAAGCUUGCGAAAACUGAGCCUAGGCAAUAAUGACCUUGGUGAUCUGGGUGUCAUGAUGCUCUGUGAGGUCCUGAAACAGCAGGGCUGCCUCCUGCAAAACCUGCAGUUGUGUGAAAUGUAUUUCAAUUAUGAGACAAAAUGUGCCUUAGAAGCACUUCAGGAAGAAAAACCCGAGUUGACCAUUGUCUUUGAGCCUUCUUGGUAAGGAUGGAAACAAGAUUGCCAGAUGCUGAUGUUUGUUGGAUACCACCAUCCAGGUGCACGCAGGUGCAGUGAGCACCCUCCAUGGAGCAAAACCACAGCUCUGCAAUUCUUCUGGUCCAGUGCCAGAGCACAAAGACUUGCUUAUCAUGCCCUCAUGGUGGAGAUUUAAGCAUCACCUUGACCUCUGGAUGAAGACAUCAGGGACAGAAAAUCAUCCAGAUGAUGUUGUUCUCAUGCAGUGCCUUCGCUGGAGGAUGCUCUCUUUUGAUGACCUCAUGUAGUUAACUCAUUCAAUAAAACAACUCUUCUUACUUUCUUUCUAACUUUCCUUUCUGUACCUUUUCCCCUUCUUUGUUCUGUACACUUUUCUCAUAUCAUCAUUUCUGCUGGGUUUCCAUUAACUGACCAUAAUACAGAACUAGUUGACUGUAUGUUAUGUGGCGAUUUUGUGGCAGCUACUUAUUUAUUUUAAAUUUUUGUGACAAUUAUAUUUUCUAAUAAAAAGAAUUUAUGCUUAUUUUAGUUAUUUGAAAAUUUGGCAAUAUGCAAAAGCUCUUAUAUUUAUUAAGUUAAACUAUUUUCUUAUUUAAAAAAGUGUCUAGAAAUCUUUAAAAUUAUUUACUUAAAAUAUAAAGACAAAUUGCUUUAUGCAUUUAAAAAAUCUCUUUGCAAAAUGAUUCAAUUGUGCUAAAUGGGAAAAAAAAUCAUCUUACCCUACCUCUGAUGGGUAGAUUUUCAGCUCUAGCAGUACAGAGAGUGACGCCAUGCAGAGGAAGGUUGUAGAAUAACCUACACCCACAAAUAGAAGUAUUGUGUGGAAAAUGCAUCUUGCUUUUGGUUGAUAGUAAUUUAUCCUGGGGGCUGGGAAGUGGCUGAACUGGUAGAGUGCCAGCCUAGAAAGGGUAAGGCCCUGAGUUCAAACACCAGUACCACCAAAAAAAUGCAUAAUUUAUUUUGGACUAACCCGUCUGAAGAAUAGUUCGUUGACUAUGCUUCACAUAGCAUUAAGUCAUGAGCAAAUUAUUGGGUGAUUGCUUCAGUAUACGUGGAUAACUUUUGAAGCAAAUGGCAUUACUUUGAUGGAAAUAUUCCUACUUCUGUCCAGUAAACCAUUUUGACCUUUAAUAUGCAAAGUGUGGCCUAUGAGCUGUUGACAUAAGGAACAUGUGCAAGAAUGUAAAAUAAUUACAUUACUAAAAAUGCUUUUUAGAUAAGCUGGCUUUUUAAAAACUAGUAAGACUAUUUUAAUAAAGGAAACUAUGUGAUUUAUAUUUCAGUGCAUACUCUUUUUUCCAUUCUGGGAUUGUGUAUGUGUGUGAUGCUGUGGAUCUCAACCACUGAGCUACAUCUCCAGCUCCAGCCCAGGUCUAGUAUCUAUCUAUGUAUGCCCUUUCUGCAUCAUGGUGAAGUUCUCUAUUGCAGAUUACUUCCCUGCUACAAAACCUGAACAAAAUAAUGUAAUUAAAGAUACAUGGAUGGAAUUGGAGCACAUUAUAGUAAGUUAAAUAAGCCAGGCACAGAAAGACAAAUACCUUAUGUUAUCGUAUAUAUGUGGAAACUAAAAUGGUUGAUUUUAUAGAAGUUGAAAGUAGAAUAGUAGUCAUUGGAGGUUGGGAAUAGGAGGAGGUGAUGGAAAUCAAGGUUGGAUAAGAGCUACUAAAAUAUGGUUACCUACAAGGAAUAAGUUCUAAUGCUCUACAGCACAGUAGUGUGACUGUAGUUCAUGAUAAUCUAUUAUAUGAUUUAUAAGGAACUAGAAGAGAGGUGUUUGAAGACUCCUAUCACAAAGAAAUGGUAAAUGUUAAAAAGAUGGAAAUUUCUCUGAUUUGAUCAUUGCACACUGUAUUCAUGUUUUAGAUUAUCAUACUGUAACCAUAAAUAUGUGACAUUAUUGUAUUUCUUAUGUUUUCUCCUAUGAGAACUAGUCAUCUAAUAUUGACUCACUCAAUGAUGUUUCCAUUGGUGUUGAUGAAGUUGCUAUAAUUUCGUGAACUCAUACUAUACUUUAUUACGUUGCACUGCUCAAUGGCCUUCUAUUUGAUACUAUGAUGACAUUGGUAGCAAGUAACCACUGAUCUGCUCUUAGUCCACAUCUGGAAAUGCCUGGGCCAGCUGAUUUUUCACUGUAAAAAUUUGACUUAGUAGAUAUGCUUGUCCCAUUUUGCACUCAACUCUAUGGACUUGGCUGUGGUUUUCCUAAUAAUCCAUGUUUGUGAUUUUUGAAACUUUUUAUAUGCUUAUCAGAAUUACUCCACUGGCAUUUUCAAACCGCCCAUGUAGCUCUGCUGUCUUGUAAUUUCUUUGGUGGACUAUGAGCUCUUGUAAGAAUGUCUACAGGUGUGAAGCACCAUUACAUUAUAUUUUGCUAUCAAAAUGUGUGAGUGGGGUCAGAGAACCAAAAGGCUAGGGACACACUAUCCUGUUAUUGUAAAUCUUUGCUCUGUAACUAGCACAGAGUUGUCCAAAUGGACUACACUACCCAUUUCUCUUAUUUAAUUUUUUAAGAACAAUAGGUAAUAAAAUCCAUAUAAGUUGAAUUAUUGUUUGAUAUUUGUGGUCACAACUAGUGAUGUUCUAGUUGACAUAAUUGACUUCCUGAUCACCCUCUGUAUUACUCAGUUUUGCAUUGCUACAACAAAAUACCUGAGGCAGACUGACUUUAUAAAGAAAAGGUUUAUUUAGCUUACAGUUUUGGAGGCUGAAAGUACAAACAGCAGGGUUCAAGCUCUGUGGAAGGCCCCUGGCAGAUGGAGUGGCCUGAGAUCUGGAUGUAAACUCUGCCAAGCCCUCAGCAAUGGCUUUGGUUUGGAAAUUGUCCUUACACUUGUUUUUCUUGCACCAUGUUUCUCUUGAACUUAUCUUGAUAGCUGAUGAAAAACUCCAGUCAAGACAUAAACUACAGGAAGUUGUAGUUACAGAUAGGGAAUAGGGAAUUCAUGU
Non-coding RNA from Castor canadensis (American beaver), 4544 nucleotides. NCBI's taxonomy places the organism in Eukaryota, Metazoa, Chordata, Mammalia, Rodentia, Castoridae. The record is from RefSeq and is a predicted model, not a curated record.